Molecule: small nuclear RNA, 107 nt
Organism: Cavia porcellus (domestic guinea pig)
Lineage: Eukaryota; Metazoa; Chordata; Mammalia; Rodentia; Caviidae
Source: Ensembl
GUGCUUGCUUCAGCAGCACAUAUACUAAAAUUGGAAUGAUACAGACAAGAUUACCAUGGCUCCUGUACUAGGAUGACAUGCAAAUUCGUGAAACAUCCCAUAUUUUU